CCUCGAUGUGAGCUCUUCACAACCUAGGACUGUAGUAUGUUCCAAGGGUUGGGCUGUUUGCCCAUUAAAGCGAUACGUGAGUUGGGUUCAGAACGUCGUGAGAUAGUUC
This 109-nucleotide ribosomal RNA is filed under the name Olea europaea subsp. europaea. RNAcentral describes it as "LSU_rRNA_bacteria". It matches the Rfam family "Bacterial large subunit ribosomal RNA", at positions 2524 to 2632 of the family's 2925-position model. The record is from RNAcentral. Lineage: Eukaryota; Viridiplantae; Streptophyta; Magnoliopsida; Lamiales; Oleaceae.